RNAcentral lists this ribosomal RNA (400 nucleotides) under uncultured bacterium. RNAcentral describes it as "bacterial SSU rRNA". It matches the Rfam family "Bacterial small subunit ribosomal RNA", at positions 362 to 776 of the family's 1533-position model. The record is from RNAcentral.
UAUUGGACAAUGGGGGGAACCCUGAUCCAGCGACGCCGCGUGAGUGAAGAAGUAUCUCGGUAUGUAAAGCUCUAUCAGCAGGGAAGAAAGAAAUGACGGUACCUGAGUAAGAAGCCCCGGCUAACUACGUGCCAGCAGCCGCGGUAAUACGUAGGGGGCAAGCGUUAUCCGGAUUUACUGGGUGUAAAGGGAGCGUAGACGGCGCGGCAAGUCUGAAGUGAAAGGCAGGGGCUUAACCCCUGAACUGCUUUGGAAACUGCCAUGCUAGAGUGCUGGAGAGGUAAGUGGAAUUCCUAGUGUAGCGGUGAAAUGCGUAGAUAUUAGGAGGAACACCAGUGGCGAAGGCGGCUUACUGGACAGUAACUGACGUUGAGGCUCGAAAGCGUGGGGAGCAAACAGG